Molecule: transfer RNA, 74 nt
Filed under: Bifidobacterium sp.
Lineage: Bacteria; Bacillati; Actinomycetota; Actinomycetes; Bifidobacteriales; Bifidobacteriaceae
Description: tRNA-Met
Rfam family: tRNA
About the family: Transfer RNA (tRNA) molecules are approximately 80 nucleotides in length. Their secondary structure includes four short double-helical elements and three loops (D, anti-codon, and T loops).
Source: RNAcentral
CGCGGGGUGGAGCAGCUCGGUAGCUCGCUGGGCUCAUAACCCAGAGGUCCAUGGUUCAAAUCCUGUCCCCGCUA